CCUACGGGAGGCAGCAGUGGGGAAUAUUGGACAAUGGGCGAAAGCCUGAUCCAGCAAUUCCGCGUGUGUGAAGAAGGCCUUCGGGUUGUAAAGCACUUUAGUGGGGGAAGAAACAGCUUGGCCACACCAAGCCUUGACGGUACCCCAAGAAUAAGCACCGGCUAACUCUGUGCCAGCAGCCGCGGUAAUACAGAGGGUGCAAGCGUUAAUCGGAUUUACUGGGCGUAAAGGGUGCGUAGGUGGCUAUUUAAGUCGGAUGUGAAAGCCCGGGGCUCAACCUCGGAAUUGCAUUCGAUACUGAGUGGCUAGAGUUCGGUAGAGGGCGGCGGAAUUUCCGGUGUAGCGGUGAAAUGCGUAGAUAUCGGAAGGAACAUCAAUGGCGAAGGCAGCCGCCUGGGCCUGGACUGACACUGAGGCACGAAAGCGUGGGUAGCAAACAGGAUUAGAUACCCUGGUAGUCCACGCCGUAAACGAUGAGAACUUGACGUUGGUUCGUUUUACGAAUCGGUGUCGCAGCUAACGCGAUAAGUUCUCCGCCUGGGGAGUACGGCCGCAAGGUUGAAACUUAAAGAGUAAGUCGCGUGNGAGNGCGACGAGCACAGGAGGUAG
RNAcentral lists this ribosomal RNA (609 nucleotides) under uncultured bacterium. Its description in RNAcentral is "bacterial SSU rRNA". It matches the Rfam family "Bacterial small subunit ribosomal RNA", at positions 338 to 944 of the family's 1533-position model. The record is from RNAcentral.